GUGCUUUCUGCCACACUGUGCAGAUCACCCAAUUCUUCAGGCCAGAAGGCACAUGCAAGGAAAAGGACUACCAUAAAGAUCCUCGGACUGCAUAAUUAUCCAUAUUAAACCAGGGAUACUUCUUGGUGCACCAUGCCUCACCAUCCCAUCCGAAGAGCAGCAACACGAGGUGACGCCUUGAUGGUGUCGGGGGACCCAGCAUUGUGUUGGGGAUAUCUCAAACCCAGCCACUGCAGACAUCUGUGGACCCAUGCUGCAUGCAUUUCAUACAGAGGCAUGGAGACAGCAUCACAUGGAGUGCCUAGAUCUCCUUAAUACACAUCCAUAGAUACUCCGUGUGCUAUUCAUAGAGCUUGGAUGUCGGGUGGACAACCGACCACACGAUGGACAUAAGACGCUCAGUAAUGGCGGUAUUUAUUUAUACAUGAUCCCUUUUCAUCUCAGAGGAUCUCUGCAAUGGUUCCAGCCCUGGAAUGUAAAUAAUUUGUCACCUUCUAAUUUAGCAGUGUCAUAUGUUCACAAAUCAUGCUGGGAGUGUAACACCAUGAAUAAAUGGAUUUCUCACCCACAUAACACUACCCAGCAUUUUAU
Molecule: long non-coding RNA, 591 nt
Organism: Bufo gargarizans (Asiatic toad)
Lineage: Eukaryota; Metazoa; Chordata; Amphibia; Anura; Bufonidae
Exons: 3
Source: RefSeq, a predicted model, not a curated record